AAAAAAUUUAAAAAAAAAACACAUACAUAAAAAUCCACACACGGGAUUGGCUGUGACUCACAAUCACGUCACCGCCCAGUAACCCUAGUAUCAUAGAAAAUUUUCUAAUCCACUCCUUGUUCACCUUAGAGACCUAAGACGCUGAGGACAAACGGCGGAGCACCACCUCUUCCUCCGUCGCAGCGGCGGCGGCCUCCUUCCAGCAUUGCAUCAGCACCGCCUUGCACGGCGGGGGCUCGACGCACCUUUUUCUAUCCACGGUGUACGUACGGUAAACUAGCAACUCGCCACCUAGCAUCUCCUGCUUCACCACGUUGUCACACGUGUACCCCUCCACGUCAGCAUGAUCUACAGCCCACGA
RNAcentral lists this unclassified non-coding RNA (361 nucleotides) under Hevea brasiliensis (rubber tree). The record is from RNAcentral. Lineage: Eukaryota; Viridiplantae; Streptophyta; Magnoliopsida; Malpighiales; Euphorbiaceae.